This 618-nucleotide ribosomal RNA is filed under the name uncultured bacterium. Its description in RNAcentral is "bacterial SSU rRNA". It matches the Rfam family "Bacterial small subunit ribosomal RNA", at positions 202 to 842 of the family's 1533-position model. The record is from RNAcentral.
CAAAGGUGAGCCAGUACAGGAUGGACCCGCGUCUGAUUAGCUAGUUGGUAAGGUAACGGCUUACCAAGGCGACGAUCAGUAGCCGACCUGAGAGGGUGAUCGGCCACAUUGGAACUGAGACACGGUCCAAACUCCUACGGGAGGCAGCAGUGGGGAAUAUUGCACAAUGGGCGAAAGCCUGAUGCAGCAACGCCGCGUGAGUGAUGAAGGCCUUCGGGUCGUAAAACUCUGUCCUCAAGGAAGAUAAUGACGGUACUUGAGGAGGAAGCCCCGGCUAACUACGUGCCAGCAGCCGCGGUAAUACGUAGGGGGCUAGCGUUACCCGGAUUUACUGGGCGUAAAGGGUGCGUAGGCGGUCUUUCAAGUCAGGAGUGAAAGGCUACGGCUCAACCGUAGUAAGCUCUUGAAACUGGGAGACUUGAGUGCAGGAGAGGAGAGUGGAAUUCCUAGUGUAGCGGUGAAAUGCGUAGAUAUUAGGAGGAACACCAGUUGCGAAGGCGGCUCUCUGGACUGUAACUGACGCUGAGGCACGAAAGCGUGGGGAGCAAACAGGAUUAGAUACCCUGGUAGUCCACGCUGUAAACGAUGAGUACUAGGUGUCGGGGGUUACCCCCUUCG